This 77-nucleotide transfer RNA is filed under the name bacterium. Its description in RNAcentral is "tRNA-Arg". It matches the Rfam family "tRNA". Rfam says of the family: Transfer RNA (tRNA) molecules are approximately 80 nucleotides in length. Their secondary structure includes four short double-helical elements and three loops (D, anti-codon, and T loops). Further hydrogen bonds mediate the characteristic L-shaped molecular structure. tRNAs have two regions of fundamental functional importance: the anti-codon, which is responsible for specific mRNA codon recognition, and the 3' end, to which the tRNAs corresponding amino acid is attached (by aminoacyl-tRNA synthetases). tRNAs cope with the degeneracy of the genetic code in two manners: having more than one tRNA (with a specific anti-codon) for a particular amino acid; and 'wobble' base-pairing, i.e. permitting non-standard base-pairing at the 3rd anti-codon position. The record is from RNAcentral.
GUGCCUGUAGCUCAGUUGGAUAGAGCGACAGACUUCUAAUCUGUAGGUCGUAGGUUCAAAUCCUACCAGGCACACCA